Long non-coding RNA from Homo sapiens (human), 2051 nucleotides. Ensembl annotates it as RIG-I dependent antiviral response regulator RNA. Its record names the gene RDUR. Lineage: Eukaryota; Metazoa; Chordata; Mammalia; Primates; Hominidae. The record is from Ensembl.
AGAAGCAGAGAUAAAACAGACUAAGUACACAGAGGAGUUUAAGGUUUCGUGAAUGUAAGUGCUGAGUACAGAAUGGUGCUCAAUAAAAGCUUGUUAAUUGAUGGACCACAGGUUUGUGACAAGACUUCUCAGAGUCUGAUUCUUUCAAGGUGGGAUAUAAGAGUAAGUAAAUGGCAUGGGGAAAAUCUGAUUGCCACAGACAGAAGAAUGAAACUGGAUGCCUAUUUCUCACAAUACACAAAAGCGAUUCAAGAUUAAAGACUUAACUAUACCUUGACUAUGAAUAAUAGUUUCAAUAAGGAAGACAGAAUGAGUUCUGACACGAUGGUUGGGAGCUGUGACAGGCAGACGAAAAAUGGAGCCAAAUGGCAUGGAGGUGUGUCAUCACUGCUGGAUUUUACCUUGAUCUACAUUCAGUUAUCUACUUCUUUUCAAAAUGCUGGGCAUUCAUUCAAGAAACAGCAUAUAUGUUCUGACUUUGAAGUAAUGGAUGAACUGUCAUGUGCAGUAUAUGGAAAUAAGUUUUAUUACCUUCUUCCCACAUUAACUCAUCCAUCCAUUCAAUAGCCAUUUAUUGAGAAGCUCACUCUGUGUUAGGCACAGUGGUGUCAUGAUGUUGGAACAGUAACAAUAACUCAACCAACCAGGGCUUGUCUGAAUACAAUCCUACAGCAGCAGGAGCUGUGGAGAUAUAGAAGGCAAGGAAGACCAGGUUGUGAGGGAAGACGAAUUUACUCCCAGGAAUGUUGGGAUUGAGAGUAAUAUUCUCCAAUAAUGGUGGAAGACAGAACAAUAAAAGCCCACCAGCUCCUUCUGCAUGGUGGGAUAAGAGAAAAGCCAAGGGCAGAAGUGAGAAAAAUAACCAUCACCAAACUGAAAAGAAAACCUUUAUAAAAAAACUGGAUUGAUAAAUGACCUUUAGUAGUGGAAAGAUACCAUUCCAAUGAAGCAUGAAUUGAAAGGAUUUCUUCUGAAAGCUAAUUUACAUUUUUCUUUUUUUUUUUUUCAUUUUCAGUGUGUUUUAGCAGGUGUAUUGUUCUACAUGGUUAGUUUCUUUACCUCUUUGAGAAAAAUGGGUCAGCUUGACACAUCUGGAUGAAAGAAUCCGUUAGGUGAUUAUGAUUGAAGACAGAUUAAGCCUUGUUAUGAGGGGAAUAUUUGGGGGCUUACCCUGAGGUGAUAUUUGAUGAUUUAGCUGUGGGAGAAUUUCCCUCCCAAGAUCAGCGUGACUGACACUGAAAUUGCUACAGGGGAACCGGACCUUUCCAAGAGGUGACAAGGACAUUUACCUGGUACAACACAAUGGUUCUGGACUGGAAGUCUAGUCCCAUUGAUGAAGUUCCCAAAAGAUGUCCAGGUCCUAAUCCCUGGAAUCUGUGAAUAUGUCAUCUUACACAUCAAAAGAACUUUGAAAAUGUGAUUGAGGUUAAGGACCUUGGAAUGAGGAGAUUACCUUGGAUUAUCUGGUUGGGUCCAAGCUAAUCACAUGAGUCCUUAAAGGAGAAGAACCUUUUUUAGCUGGGUCAGAGAGAGAUGUGAUGAUGAAAACAGGCUCAGGGAGAUGCACUGUAAGAAGGGCUUGACCAGUUGUUUUUGACUUUGAAGAUGGAGGGAAGGGCCAGGAGCCAAGGAAGGUGGGUGGCUUUUGGAAGGUGGAAAAAGCAAGGGAACAUUCUCUCCAGAGCCUCCAGAAAGGAGCUCAGCCCUGUUGACAUCUUUGUUUUUAUUUUUUAUUUUUAGUAGCAUUGAGGUCUCACUAUGUUGCACAGGCUGGUCUUGAACUCUUGAGCUCAAGCACUCCUCCCGCCUUGGCUUCCCAAAGUGCUGGGAUUAUAGGCAUGUGCCACCACAUCUGGCUUCCUACUGACAUCUUAACUUUAGUGCAGUGAGACUCAUAUUUGAAUUUCUGACCUUAUAUUAUAGAACCAUAAGACAUUAUAGAAUUAUAUAGAAUUAUAGAACCAUAAGACAAUAACUUUGUGUUGUUUUAAGAUACUAAAUUUUUGGUAAUUUGUUAUGGCAGCACAAUAAAACCAAUAUAGCAUUAUAUU